UAGCAACCUUUACUACUUGUGAAAAUAAGUUCAUAACGAUUAGGUGAAAUUCACUUAUAUUCUAGCAUCAAAUUCAUGCAUGUAAAUUAAGCGUGCACUCUCAACCAACAUACACAAAUCAGUUUUUAUACGAACGGAUAAGUAAAUUGAAAUCACAACUUAUGAAAUCACAACCGAAGGUAAUCAAUUCAUAUUACAAAUAUAUUCAUGGUUUCGAAUUAACCUCUAGCCAAAAUCAAUUUAUUUACACAUUAUUAAAAAUAGAAAUAAAAUAGAAGUUUAGAGAGAUUAAACCGAAAGAGAGGUGAAGAUCUCUGUCUGCGUUCUCCUUUCACGCUGUAUUGGACCGUCCUCACCUUUGUACUGACUCUGUCCUCCUUAUUUUCUGCGCCUAUUCCUGCGUGCUGACCUUCACAAGCUGCCCAAAGGCAGCCUUCUCUCGUCAGUCCCCCGCUCCGCUUCUAACCUGCUCUACCUUCUGACCAGCUGCAAAGCAGCUGUCACGCCUGAUCUGGACUGCCCUUGCUGUCUCUAUUCCCGUGCUGACUUGCCUUGUUUCUCCGUCCUCACUCCUCUUUUCCUCCAGCUGCCAAAGGCAGCUUUCCCCUGCAGCUUCUUGCUGCUCUCUGGACUCUCCCGCCUUCUGCUAUUCCACGCUGCCCAAAGGCAGCCCUUUCACUCACCUCUGCACGUCAACUCAUGCUCAAGCUGCCAAAUGGCAGCUUUCUUUCUUAACCUCUCUCUUCAGUCACGCUGCCAAGGCAGCGUCUCUUCUCCCGCCUCUGUCUCUCUGACCUCGCUGCCCAAGGGCAACGAUCUCCCCAAUCCCGUGCGCACUCUGCGCUUAUUCCCCUUUCUUCUGUUUCUUUAUUUUUUUAUAUCCUUUUCUGCUUCUGGCAGCAGGGCUGCCCCCCACCAAUCACGCCAACCUUAUUUUUUUUUUCUAUUUCGUGUCCCUCUCCUUUCUAUCCCCCUCGUAAUUUUUUAUUCUCUUUUCUUUCACGCCUAACCUUCCCGUCAGUCAAGGUUGCCAGCUGCAAAAGGGCAGCUCCUUCCCAUCCUCAAUUCUCUUGGAUUCCUUUCACCCCCCUUUCUGCCUUUUUCUUCUUUUAUUUUAUUCUUCUUUUGUUUUCCUGUUGUUUUUCACGUUUUCUUUUCUUUUCUUUAUUCUUUCUACAAAACAUAACAAAUCUUAUAAACACAAAAAUAACGUAAAUAGCUCAAAAAUAUAAGGAACUAACUAAGAAAAGACGAGUGAAUUCGAAGUAAAAAUAUAUAUAAAUAUGAUCCGAUCAGAAAUCACAACCGAAGGUAAUCAAUUCAUAUUACAGAUAUAAUCAUGGCUUUGAAUUAACCUCUAGCCAAAAUCAAUUUAUUUACACAUUAUUAAAAAUAGAAAUAAAAUAGAAGUUUUAGAAAGAUUUAACCGAGAGAGAGAAGGCUUGCAGCUUCUGUCCACCUGACGUUGUCUCUGUCCUCCUCCCAUCCGCGCUACUCUCUUCUAACCUCUCUGACCUCCCUCUAUUUUCUUUCUAUUUUCUGUCCCUCACGCUGCCCAAAGGCAGCUUUCUGCUCUCCAAUUCCUGUUCCGUGUGCUUUUCUUCACACGCUGCCAAGGCAGCCCUCUCUCCUUUGCUCUCUCCACUCUCACGCUGCCCAAAAGGGCAGCUCCCUGUGCUCACCCUGUCCCUUGCGUCUCUGCGAGCUGCCCAAAGGCAGCUCCCUCUUUUUCUUCUCGUUUCUCCCCCAAGACCGCCCCCUUAUAUCUCCUGCUUCUGACAGUCUCCCCGCGCUGGCACUGAAGCUUUGCUGCUUCUCUCUGACCUCCUGCCCUCUCGUGUUCUCUCCAGCUGCAAAGGCAGCUUUUGGUUCUUUUUUUAUUCCUUUCUUCACCCUCCCACGAUGUAAACCAGCUGUUCCGUCUGUUGCCUUAAACAAAAGGCAAUGAUUUCUUUUCAAAGCCCCCAAGGCCACCAGUGGAAACCCCAUCAUUGAUGUCCCCCGUGCUCUCCACUUUCUUCUCUAAUUUCUUUGCUAUUUUCUGCAAAUUAAGUGGAAUCCCCACUUUUCUGGCAAAGCCACGCACCUUUAUUUUCAUUUAGUUUCUAGCAGCCUCACGUAGCAGAAAAAUAAGUUCUUUUAAUCAUGUUACUCCUACAAACACAAAAUAUCAAAAGUAUCAUAAAUACUUAAAGCUUCCAACUAAAUUAGACAAGAGAAGACAUAUAAAAGGAUGAAAUAUAAAGUUUAAAUAUUGGUUUAUCAUUUAGCGUCACAAUGGAUUAGCAAUAUUGUAAUUUAAAUUUGCUUUUGACGAAUUUAUUACAUAAAAUUUAACUUGUUCUAUUUUUAUUUUCUUUGCAUAACAAAUCCUAUAAACACAAAAAUAACGUAAAUAGCUCAAAAAUAUAAGGAACUAACUAAGAAAAGACG
Molecule: long non-coding RNA, 2433 nt
Filed under: Malus domestica (apple)
Lineage: Eukaryota; Viridiplantae; Streptophyta; Magnoliopsida; Rosales; Rosaceae
Description: long non-coding RNA (MDOM_LNC010504)
Source: RNAcentral